Molecule: ribosomal RNA, 506 nt
Filed under: uncultured bacterium
Lineage: Bacteria
Description: partial 16S ribosomal RNA
Rfam family: Bacterial small subunit ribosomal RNA
Source: RNAcentral
AGUGAACGCUGGCGGUGGGCCUAACACAUGCAAGUCGAACGGCAGCACAGGAGAGCUUGCUCUCUGGGUGGCGAGUGGCGGACGGGUGAGGAAUACAUCGGAAUCUACUCUGUCGUGGGGGAUAACGUAGGGAAACUUACGCUAAUACCGCAUACGACCUACGGGUGAAAGCAGGGGAUCUUCGGACCUUGCGCGAUUGAAUGAGCCGAUGUCGGAUUAGCUAGUUGGCGGGGUAAAGGCCCACCAGGGCGACGAUCCGUAGCUGGUCGGAGGGGAUGAUCGGCCACACUGGAACUGAGACACGGUCCAGACUCCUACGGGAGGCAGCAGUGGGGAAUAUUGGACAAUGGGCGCAAGCCUGAUCCAGCCAUACCGCGUGGGUGAAGAAGGCCUUCGGGUUGUAAAGCCCUUUUGUUGGGAAAGAAAUCCAGCUGGCUAAUACCCGGUUGGGAUGACGGUACCCAAAGAAUAAGCACCGGCUAACUUCGUGCCAGCAGCCGCGGUAA